CCGGCCACAAUAAUGAGAAUUCGGGAUCAAAUCAUGUGACUAGUUUUAAAUGUCUCCAAUUCUAUAAUCAUAACUCGUAUAUGGUUUAAAAGACACAACCUAAUCUAAUGCUGAAAAUAUAAAAAAAGUUAACCUUACUUUCUCGUUUGGUAGCUCGCCUGUGCGACCGGACGGCCAGAGUGCGUUCGUUGGAUAUCGACACAACGAAACAUUUCCGUGUCUUCACUUCUCGAUGGAGAGAUUUGGUAGAAGAUCUAGCAUGCGGCCGACGGCGGCCAGCGGCUCGAUCACGGGAGCAGUUUUUUGUCAGCAGUUUUGAAACGAAGGGAUUAGAGGAGAUCGGAACUGCUUCGUGCCCCUUAGCUUUCAUACUGGGGCUACA
Molecule: long non-coding RNA, 382 nt
Filed under: Hordeum vulgare
Lineage: Eukaryota; Viridiplantae; Streptophyta; Magnoliopsida; Poales; Poaceae
Description: long non-coding RNA (HVUL_LNC020137)
Source: RNAcentral